Molecule: small nuclear RNA, 107 nt
Organism: Cervus hanglu yarkandensis (Yarkand deer)
Lineage: Eukaryota; Metazoa; Chordata; Mammalia; Artiodactyla; Cervidae
Source: Ensembl
GUGCUUGCUUUAGCAGCACAUAUACUAAAAUUGGAAAGAUACAGAGAUGAUUAGCAUGGCCCCCAUGCAAGGAUGACAUGCAAAUUUGUGAAGCGUUCUCUAUUUUU